GAUGAACGCUGGCGGCGUGCCUAAUACAUGCAAGUCGAACGAGUUCUCGUUGAUGAUCGGCGCUUGCACCGAGAUUCAACAUGGAACGAGUGGCGGACGGGUGAGUAACACGUGGGUAACCUGCCCUUAAGUGGGGGAUAACAUUUGGAAACAGAUGCUAAUACCGCAUAGAUCCAAGAACCGCAUGGUUCUUGGCUGAAAGAUGGCGUAAGCUAUCGCUUUUGGAUGGACCCGCGGCGUAUUAGCUAGUUGGUGAGGUAAUGGCUCACCAAGGCGAUGAUACGUAGCCGAACUGAGAGGUUGAUCGGCCACAUUGGGACUGAGACACGGCCCAAACUCCUACGGGAGGCAGCAGUAGGGAAUCUUCCACAAUGGACGCAAGUCUGAUGGAGCAACGCCGCGUGAGUGAAGAAGGCUUUCGGGUCGUAAAACUCUGUUGUUGGAGAAGAAGGUCGGCAGAGUAAC
RNAcentral lists this ribosomal RNA (465 nucleotides) under Lacticaseibacillus paracasei. RNAcentral describes it as "bacterial SSU rRNA". It matches the Rfam family "Bacterial small subunit ribosomal RNA", at positions 28 to 464 of the family's 1533-position model. The record is from RNAcentral. Lineage: Bacteria; Bacillati; Bacillota; Bacilli; Lactobacillales; Lactobacillaceae.